AACUAUUUUUAAUAUUCACUGACCAUUAUGUUUGAUUUACACAUGAUGACUAGUGCCUAAAGCAUGGACUCUUAUUCUGUCUUUACCAGUUAUCUAACUGAUCAGGACCCGUUCAGAGACGUUUGAUAUAAUCAGUAACAAAACUUGAUCGUAAACCGAUUUACAUUAGAAAGAAGAAUUCAUAAAAUAUCCCCAAACAGUUCUACGGAAAGCAAAGGACAACUCUAUUCACGAAAAGGUUAUGACGCAUCCAAACAGGUGCACAUUCAAGUCUUCUGCAGAAGUUUCAAAACCCAAAACCCAGUGUCCCUCCCUCCAAUCUCCUACUUCUUCAAACUAAAAUCUUCAAUGGAGGAACCUAGCUCAGCCUCAGAAAAUCAAGUUGUGGUAGAUGAUGAAGGUGGUAAGGUUAAAGGAGGAGAAAUUCCAAGGUUUGAAAUUAAAGUGACCCAUGAAGCGAAACUUAAAGAACUGUUGCAUAAGAUUAAUUCUCUUGAAAUUCAGUUAUGCUCUGAUGGUGUAAAGGAGUUCAUUAAGUUGCUAAAAGCAUGGUACUCUAAGGCUUCUUUCGGAGGCACUGAAGUUGCUGGACUUGACUCCUUCAUUGGUGCUUUGAACCGUGGUUCUUAUUCUAGCAAUCAAAUGAUGCAGGGUUGGGCAGCUCUCAAGCAAGGAAUUCAGAAUGAAGUCAGAACUUUGAAUUUUGUAAUCGAGAAAAGCUUUCUGGUUUUCUAAUGUGGGAAAUUUCACUGCCUUGAGAUCAGACUCUGCACAAAUGCUUCAGCUUCAAGAAUCUUAUUCCCAUUUAGCCAUUUUUUUGGAGGAAGAGAUUCAUGAGGAUUCUUUGAUACUAGACUUUUGUGAUGGCUAAACUGCUGCUAUUAUUCUUGGGAAGGUUUCUUGGAAAUCUAAUGGUUUUGUCCCCAAGAUUUCAAACCGAAUUAAAUUAGGAACUCUGCAAUCAUUAUUGGAUCUUAUUGAAAGUGAAUGUGAUGAAAGCAUCAAAAAUCGAUUCGGCUGUGAGUAUUAUUUACUGUCGACAACUUCAUGGCAUUCUUGUUGAGUGCUCCCAUAGUUAUAUCUGCACUGUGUCUUCUUUCCUCUGCCUCCAGUUUUUUAGAUCAGUUAUCUUCCAAGGUCAUAAGACCCUGGUGGCAUCACUGUGUUCGAAGAUACAUUGCCCUACUGAAGCUAAUCUUGCCUAGAGAUGGUCCUUUUAUAGGCCAUGGAAGGACCUUUCAUUGGAACUCACUGAUUCACAGAAGAUGGAUGAACUCCAUGCUUGUCAAACUCUCUCAAGUCAUUUUUGCUAAUGGAAUUUCAAGAAAAUCAUUAAGUUUGCAGGUAUUGUCACCUUAAAAUGUGGACAGAUCUGGUGUGCAUGAAUGGGAAAAAAGCAUUAUAAGAGCUUGAAGGGUGUUCACUCCCAAGAUUUUUUAGUACAAUUAGAGAUUCUGGAAUAACUUUACGCUCUGAAAGGUAGUGAGCAGAGUUUAGUUGAACUCCAUGAUUUUUAAGAAUGGUGAAUAUAUUAAAACAUUAAAAUACAUGACUAGUACAAUGAUGGUUGUAAAUUGUAAGUUAAUGAAGGUGAGUUUGAAACAUCAUGUUACAGGCUUACAGCCAUCAUAUGAGAAUUACAGAAAUCUUAAUGCAGCCAGUAUUCAAGGAUGUCAUGGCAACAAAGUUGUACUCGAAUGCCAAUGUUAUUUUAGACUUGGAUUUGUUGUAA
Molecule: RNA transcript, 1732 nt
Organism: Quercus robur (English oak)
Lineage: Eukaryota; Viridiplantae; Streptophyta; Magnoliopsida; Fagales; Fagaceae
Exons: 6
Source: RefSeq, a predicted model, not a curated record